AAGUCGUAACAAGGUUUCCGUAGGUGAACCUGCGGAAGGAUCAUUACAGAGUAUCAUGCCCUUCGGGGUAGGUCUCCCACCCUUGUGUAUUGUUAUAAAAUGUUGCUUUGGCGGGCUGCGUGCUCUGCGCGCCUGGGUUUGCGUCCAGCGUGCCCGCCAGAGGACCCCUAAACUCUGAAUGUUUGUGUCGUCUGAGUACUAGUAAAUAGUUAAAACUUUCAACAACGGAUCUCUUGGUUCUG
RNAcentral lists this unclassified non-coding RNA (242 nucleotides) under Lachnum sp. Its description in RNAcentral is "partial internal transcribed spacer region". The stretch from base 1 to 46 matches the Rfam family "Eukaryotic small subunit ribosomal RNA", at positions 1786 to 1831 of the family's 1831-position model. Lineage: Eukaryota; Fungi; Ascomycota; Leotiomycetes; Helotiales; Lachnaceae. The record is from RNAcentral.